RNAcentral lists this ribosomal RNA (461 nucleotides) under uncultured bacterium. RNAcentral describes it as "bacterial SSU rRNA". It matches the Rfam family "Bacterial small subunit ribosomal RNA", at positions 39 to 485 of the family's 1533-position model. The record is from RNAcentral.
GGCCGCGGGAAUUCGAUUCAGGCCUAACACAUGCAAGUCGAGCGGUAGAGAGAAGCUUGCUUCUCUUGAGAGCGGCGGACGGGUGAGUAAUACCUAGGAAUCUGCCUGAUUGUGGGGGAUAACGUUCGGAAACGGACGCUAAUACCGCAUACGUCCUACGGGAGAAAGCAGGGGACCUUCGGGCCUUGCGCUAUCAGAUGAGCCUAGGUCGGAUUAGCUAGUUGGUGAGGUAAUGGCUCACCAAGGCUACGAUCCGUAACUGGUCUGAGAGGAUGAUCAGUCACACUGGAACUGAGACACGGUCCAGACUCCUACGGGAGGCAGCAGUGGGGAAUAUUGGACAAUGGGCGAAAGCCUGAUCCAGACGUGCCGCGUGUGUGAAGAAGGUCUUCGGAUUGUAAGAAAAGGAAGUUGGAGGAAGGGCAUUAACCUAAUACGUUAGUGUUUGACGUACCGACAGA